RNAcentral lists this ribosomal RNA (189 nucleotides) under Russulaceae sp. RNAcentral's name for it is "partial large subunit ribosomal RNA". It matches the Rfam family "Eukaryotic large subunit ribosomal RNA", at positions 1 to 183 of the family's 3401-position model. The record is from RNAcentral. Lineage: Eukaryota; Fungi; Basidiomycota; Agaricomycetes; Russulales; Russulaceae.
CCUUGACCUCAAAUCGGGUGAGACUACCCGCUGAACUUAAGCAUAUCAAUAAGCGGAGGAAAAGAAACUAACAAGGAUUCCCCUAGUAACUGCGAGUGAAGCGGGAAAAGCUCAAAUUUAAAAUCUGGUGGCCCUUCCGCCAUCCGAGUUGUAAUUUAGAGAAGCGUCUUCCGCGCUGGACCGUGAAAA